This 273-nucleotide long non-coding RNA is filed under the name Monodelphis domestica (gray short-tailed opossum). RNAcentral's name for it is "lncRNA (ENSMODG00000031077.2)". Lineage: Eukaryota; Metazoa; Chordata; Mammalia; Didelphimorphia; Didelphidae. The record is from RNAcentral.
CUAUGUUGACAGGGGAAAGACAUGAGGUCCAGGUGAGACCAUUUUUUCCCCUCAUGCAGGAAGGCCCAGCUGAUGUCAAUAAUUCUAACAAUGGCUUUAGUACUGCCCCACUCUGAGCCUGCUUGCUGGAACCUUAUAGAGGAAGCAAUGCCCAGGUCUCUGGGUUCCUGCUCCCAAAGGGAUUCUUGGACUGUGCCGUGGAACUGUUGUUGGGGAAAGAACCUGAGAACCAGAGAAGUGGCCCAAAGCGAGAGAGACAUCGCCGGCUGUUGA